Molecule: ribosomal RNA, 484 nt
Filed under: uncultured bacterium
Lineage: Bacteria
Description: partial 16S ribosomal RNA
Rfam family: Bacterial small subunit ribosomal RNA
Source: RNAcentral
GUUGAACGCUAGCGGCAGGCCUAACACAUGCAAGUCGAGCGGAUGGAGGGAGCUUGCUCCUGGAUUCAGAGUCGGACGGGGGAGUGUUACCUAUAAGUCUGCCUGGUAGUAGAGGAUAACGUCCGGAAAAAGGCGCUAUUAACCCAUCCGACCUGAGGGAGAAAGUGGGGGAUCUUCGUAACUCCGGCUAGCAGAUGAGCCUAGGUCGGAUUAGCUAGUGGGUGGGGUAAAGGCAAACCAAGCCGACGCGCCGUAACUGGUCUGAGACGAUGAGCAGUCACCCUGGAACUGAGACAGGGUCCAGAGUCCGACGGGAGGCAGCAGUGGGGAAUAUUGGAAUAUGGGAGAAAGCCUGAUCCAGCCAUGGCGCGUGUGUGAAGAAGGUCUUCGGAUUGUAAAGCACUUUAAGUUGGGAGGAAGGGAUGUAAGUUAAUAGCUUGCUGUAUUGACGUUACCAACAGAAUAAGCACCGGCUAACUUCGUG